AAGGUAGAGUCCAGGGAAGCAUGAUUAAAAUCCCAGAUAUGACCAUAAACGCCUCUUUGUCUGCAGCCUUGCUGUUACUGUGUGUAUCUUCUCAGAGGCAGCUGAUGCUUCCGCGCUGAGCGCCUCAUCUACAGUAAAUAGUACAGCUUGAAUAAUUUUUACAUUUAGUUUGAAUUUAUUCUAAAUCGACACCUGAAUUUAUACCAAUAGCAAUACCAACUAGCAGCGGUAAUGCAUCGCUAUAAAGUUGUUUCCAACCACUACUCGGUCUCCAUAGAUACUUGUUGUUUCAUCUGACGUAGCAACUAGCUAUGAUUUCUGAAGACGUAUAACCGUAAAGUAGGGUUGUCUCGUUUCCUAAAGGAAUAUUUACUCCCACCCCCUUAACACUUCGUUUCAAGGGAUGAGGGGUCGAAAAGUGAGGGGUAGGGGUAAAAAGAGAACUGGGAUUAGGCCUCGAUGUCUCAGAGUUGAGCUGGAACUUAAACACCAGAAAGAUUUCCACUGCUGGAAGUUUCUCAUUUUGUCGUACAAGUGCGAUAAAAAGUCAUUUAUAAAAGCUGGAGAUGAAAGACCUUUGGUCUGCAGCAGGUGUUUUUACAGUCUGACUAAUUUAAGGCUCUACAGACACGAACAAAUGUAUUUCUCUCAUCCUCUGAACAGGCUUUACUCCAAAGAUGAACAACACAAACCCGACGUCUUCAGUCAACAGCUACGAGUCUCUCAUCUCCCACUGCUGGACUGAGAGUGAAGCUGAUUUCUUCACACUGAUCAUCGUUUCCAUCUGCCUUCCUUUGACCCUCUUGGCCUUAUGUGCUCUUUUAUCACAGCUGCGAAAUAAACAUGUUGCUCCGGUCUACAUCAUCAACCUCGUCUUUGCUGACAUCCUACAGAUGUGCUGCAUGAUCGUUGAGCUGGCAGGGGUCAAGGACGAAUUAAUAAAGUUUAUAUUUUUCUACUUUGUCUACAACUGUGCGGUGAUGGCCAGUGUUUGCUCCAUGGUCUGCAUUGCCCUGGAAAGAUAUCUGCUCAUCGUCUGGCCGAUCUGGUACCGUCUGAAACGAACCACCAAGGUCUAUGUGGGUGUUUGUGCUUUAAUCUGGAUCAUUUCUGUUUUUAUUGGAGUCAUUCAUGGAUAUUUAGCAGGUGCUUUUCUCCUCCUCCCCUUUCCCCUGCUCAUCUUCUUCCUAGUUGGGACCAUUAGAGCCCUGUCUGCUGUCCAGGGUGUUUCCACCAAUGAAAAACGGAGAAUUGUGGCAGUUUUGCUUGUGGUUGUGUUAAUGUACACAGUUCUUGUCCUGCCUCGGUUUGUUUUGAAUUUGUUGUUUUUAUCAUAUCACAAUGACUGGAACAUUUCCAUCAAGUUAUAUGACGUGUCUUGCAUUCUAAUUCAGUUGAAUCCUUGUAUUGACUUAGUUUUAUAUUUUUUAUUUAAUAAAUGGACCCUAGGAAGGUUUUUGGUCUGUCUGACCUGUUGCAGAAAUAACAAUGAUGAUGCCACCAGAUCAACAGCCUGAAUGAUGAAAACAUGAAAACACAAACUAAACACUUUUAAUGUAGAAAAGACACUGAUAGAUUUAUUUUACAAAUCUUUUAUGGAGUCUGUUUUAAUGUUCUGUAUUAUUGGCUGGUUUGCAGAAUAAAAACCGUCGGAUAUCAUCAGAGUAGAAGUAAGAUAACUGGCUCACAGCAGCUCUCUGUCAGAUAUUUAUAAUCAACACGUGUCACGGAAGGUGCAACCAAUCCUGGCCAGCUCUGGUCACCCAGAAGAAUUUGUUCUCCCUUCAGGUCGUCAGCAUCGUUGCUAACAACCCAGCCACCUGCCUGACCAACAUGUGACGUGGUUUGGUCACAUGACUCUAGGUGUGAAUGGUUUCUAAACGGCCUGGGAAGGUGAGUCAAGACUGCACUGCAGGUGUUUGACAGAUGAAACCUGAGGCCCCCUCCUCUAUCUAAUGUUGGUUUUCCCAUUUAACAUCGAUGACUUCUUCCCCUGUCCAAUAUAUGCACCUUACUUUCCUUUAAAAGUGUGUUGCUUGUCCUUAAGAUGCAGGUGGACUGUUGAAACUUGACCUGAAGAGCUGCUCUUUGUAGCACCGCACACCUGUAAAGUGGUUGUUAGGUUUCUAUGUAGAGGUCUGUGCUCUGGUGGACCAGUUUCUGCCUCCGUGUGUUGCUAGGUUUGAAAUGCACAGGAAUGUUGUGUUUAGAGAAGAUCAGUCCUCAAGGUCCUGCAGGUUCUGGAGGUUUCUUGCUGCACCUGAAUCAGAUUAAUAGGUCAUCAUGCUGGCAGAGAACUUAACAAGCUGUUGAGGAGAACCAUUUAAUUUGAAUCAGGUGUGCUGGAGCAGGAAUCGUCUGACACACCAGAGCUGGACACCCCGGUUUUUCAGCCACUCCAGACAUGUGUGGAAUGACAACGUUUGUGCAUCAUUUCUUCUAUUCUUCAUUAUUUGGGGCUCAGUUUUUCUCUGACUUGAUAAAAGCCCAGCUCAGACACGCAGGGUUGAAGCUCUGUCUCGACAUGCUUGUGCAGCUUUUCUUUCCUUCUGUCCUGGUGGGACAUUUUCAGCCCGAUGCUGCAGAGUCCUGAGGACGGCCAGUCUGUGUUCCAGUGGGUGGUGUGAGUCAGAGAGCAAGAACUGGUCUGUGUGUGAUGGUUUCCAGUACACUGCUGGGUUGGUAACAAAACCUACCCGACUCCCACACGUCCCUCAUGUUUUUCAUUAGGUGCUUUUCCAUUACCCCUAGAACUGCACAAAACCUAAAUAUCGCAAUAAAAACUGAUAAUGGAAACACCAACAUUUCGAAAAACCUCUCAAACAUUGCUAAAAUGUUUUUAUGCUGUCAUGAGGUGACUUUUCAGAUGUGUCAAUAUAGGAGUAUAUCGCAAAGUGUAAUGGAAACACUUUUUUUCAUUUACACGUCCCCGGACAUGACGUAAGGGGCACGGCAUGAGGAGCUGCAAGAGGAGACAGAAAUCUUUUCACAAACAAUUAAAGAAAAUAUCGCUGCCAUCCUUCAUAGCAAACAACAGCGAAAUGCAAGAAUUUUUAACCAAAAAUUAGAAAUCUCCUUCCUCCUCAAAGCUGAGAGAACAACAACUAAUGCACUAAACACCAUUCAAUGGAAGCGCUUGCAAAUCGCUGUUGUUGAAAUUGUAGAAAUAUUUCUUUUAUUUAGCAAAAUACUGUAAUGGAAACGCAGCUACUGACUAACAGUAAGAUUCAGAGUUAAUUUCCAAACGUUACGACUCCAGUAGAAGGUGAUGCAUUAAAUAGAAGCUUCUUAUACAUCAGAGCUUCAGGUGGUCGACCUCCAUGAUGCCAGAUCUGAGCAACUUUCAGACAUUUUUCAACAUUUUGGUCCUAUUUAUGAAGCAUUUAAAACUCUGUUUUUAACAUAUUGAUUUAUGUUGUUUGAAUAGAAGUUUCAGCUGUAAAUAUUUUUUUUAUUAUUAGUGAUAUAAUUUAAAUCGAGUGUUUUGCUCUAGAUUUUUUCUCUUAGACACGUGGAUAUAAUCAUCAAUCUCUGUAAAAAACUUGGAUUUCUUGCAGGAAGACACUAGCAGUGUCCUUAAAAUGUACAUGUUCAUUGUAUAAUCUGUGUAUUUAUCAAUUUUAAAUUGUAAUUUGAAGUGUUUGUGUGAACGAAAUAAAGAUUUAGGUUUAA
Molecule: long non-coding RNA, 3672 nt
Organism: Melanotaenia boesemani (Boeseman's rainbowfish)
Lineage: Eukaryota; Metazoa; Chordata; Actinopteri; Atheriniformes; Melanotaeniidae
Exons: 3
Source: RefSeq, a predicted model, not a curated record